This is a long non-coding RNA of Bactrocera neohumeralis, 431 nucleotides long. RefSeq lists it as uncharacterized. The record is from RefSeq and is a predicted model, not a curated record. The transcript has 2 exons. Lineage: Eukaryota; Metazoa; Arthropoda; Insecta; Diptera; Tephritidae.
UAUAUAUAUAUGUAUAUAAGACCAUGUAUGUAUAUACGAUAUGACGUGUACUGCAUUUGUGGAAAGGGAAUAGCAACAGCUGGCGCAUUAGAAUAUAUACAUGACAUUGAACUUUUGUUCAUAUCCUUGGCCCACAUCAAGGCUACAAAGCUGGUAAUAGGCAGCUGAGCUACACAGUAUUUUAUGGUUCGGCAAAGCAAGACAAAAAUGUGUUGGCAAAGCACAGCCGGUUUAUACGGCGACUUGUAUUUUAGAUUUGAUGUUUAUGCGGUGUGACGAUACUUCAAAAUAUCAUGUGAAUAUCAAUUUUACUGCAACUCUCCUUCGUUGUGAAUAAAAUUGCAGUUAUAAAAUUUAAGGAGACACCGUUAAAAUUGAUUAGCUACAUAGACCUGCUCGAUGUACAACGAAUUUAAUGCGAUUUUCAAUAA